AAUGAUUGUGGUGUAUGAAACUUUAAUUCAUAGUUUUGGUUUUAUGAGUUGAUUUAAAGAUUCUUUUGGCAUUAUUAUUGAGAUCAUUGUUAAAAUCUAAUAUUGUAUGAGGAAUUUGAUUUUGAGAGGCUUGCAUGAUUAUCAUGGAAGGUUUUUGAUUGGAAUUGUCCAAUUGAUUGAUAAGAGAAUCAAGACUUAAUUCAUAUUUAUGUUAUAAUAGCUAUCUUAUAUAAUGGUUACAAAUAUGGCAAUUAGCUCAAGGGUUAAUCAAGAUGGAUGUGCUCA
This 285-nucleotide long non-coding RNA is filed under the name Elaeis guineensis (African oil palm). RNAcentral describes it as "long non-coding RNA (EGUI_LNC034868)". The record is from RNAcentral. Lineage: Eukaryota; Viridiplantae; Streptophyta; Magnoliopsida; Arecales; Arecaceae.